This 199-nucleotide ribosomal RNA is filed under the name uncultured bacterium. RNAcentral's name for it is "partial 16S ribosomal RNA". It matches the Rfam family "Bacterial small subunit ribosomal RNA", at positions 328 to 539 of the family's 1533-position model. The record is from RNAcentral.
ACGCUCGACACCUACGGGAGGGCAGCAGUGGGGAAUAUUGCACAAUGGGGGAAACCCUGAUGCAGCGACGCCGCGUGAAGGAAGAAGUAUCUCGGUAUGUAAACUUCUAUCAGCAGGGAGGAAAAUGACGGUACCUGACUAAGAAGCCCCGGCUAACUACGUGCCAGCAGCCGCGGUAAUCUGAGCGGGCUGGCAAGGC